GAUGAACGCUGGCGGCGUGCCUAAUACAUGCAAGUCGAGCGAACAGACGAGGAGCUUGCUCCUCUGACGUUAGCGGCGGACGGGUGAGUAACACGUGGAUAACCUACCUAUAAGACUGGGAUAACUUCGGGAAACCGGAGCUAAUACCGGAUAAUAUAUUGAACCGCAUGGUUCAAUAGUGAAAGACGGUUUUGCUGUCACUUAUAGAUGGAUCCGCGCCGCAUUAGCUAGUUGGUAAGGUAACGGCUUACCAAGGCAACGAUGCGUAGCCGACCUGAGAGGGUGAUCGGCCACACUGGAACUGAGACACGGUCCAGACACCUACGGGAGGCAGCAGUAGGGAAUCUUCCGCAAUGGGCGAAAGCCUGACGGAGCAACGCCGCGUGAGUGAUGAAGGUCUUCGGAUCGUAAAACUCUGUUAUUAGGGAAGAACAAAUGUGUAAGUAACUAUGCACGUCUUGACGGUACCUAAUCAGAAAGCCACGGCUAACUACGU
Molecule: ribosomal RNA, 496 nt
Filed under: uncultured bacterium
Lineage: Bacteria
Description: partial 16S ribosomal RNA
Rfam family: Bacterial small subunit ribosomal RNA
Source: RNAcentral